AUGGCCAAUGGCAGGCCAGGCAGAGAAGGUGUUUGUCCCCACCGACACGGAGCUGCUCCAGGCGCAGUCGGACCUGUGGCGCCACACCCUCUGGCUACCUCACGCCUAUGGCGCUCCAGUGCGCCGUCGACCUUGGCGUCCCCACCGCCAUCCACCGCCUCGGCGGCGCCGCGUCCCCAUCCGAACUUGUCGCCGCCCUAUCCCUCCCCACGUCCAAGCUGCCCUUCCUCGCCCGCCUGCUGCGCCAACUCGCCACGGCGGGCGAUCUUCAGUGCAACCGACGUCGGAACGUACCGCCUCAACCCGCUCUCGUACCUCCUGGUAGACGACGUCCGCAUCGUCGGCGACGCUAGCCAGACGGCCCUCGUGCGCGCCGCGGCCUCGCGCUACUACGUGGAGGCGGCCAUGGGGCUGGCGGACUGGUUCAGGAAGGACUUCGAUGGAGCCGUCCCCUCGCCCUUCGAGGACGUGCAUGGCGCGGCCAUCUUCGAGGAGAGCAUGGUGCUCCUCGACCCGGAGAUGGAUCAGCUGCUCCACGACGCCCUCGCUGCCCACGACCACAUGGGGAUCGGCCCCGUGCUCCGGCAGUGCAGUGAGCUGUUCGAGGGGCUUGAGACUCUCACUGACUGCGGCGGUGGCGAUGGGACUACCGCGAGGUCCAUCGUCGAGGCCUACCCUCACAUCACGUGCACUGUGCUGGACCUUCCAAAGGUCAUGGACAAAGUUCUUCCCACUGAAGAAGGAGCAGUUAAGUAUGUUUCCGGUGACCUGUUCCACGUUGUCCCACCUGCUCAAGCCGUGUUGGUCAAGCUUGUACUGCACUUCUGGAAGGACGAGGAUUGCGUCAAGAUCUUGGCACAAUGCAAGAAGGCCAUUCCUCCCCGAGAUGCCUGA
This 894-nucleotide ribosomal RNA is filed under the name Triticum aestivum (bread wheat). RNAcentral's name for it is "partial small subunit ribosomal RNA". Lineage: Eukaryota; Viridiplantae; Streptophyta; Magnoliopsida; Poales; Poaceae. The record is from RNAcentral.